RNAcentral lists this ribosomal RNA (808 nucleotides) under Bacteroides sp. CAG:770. RNAcentral's name for it is "SSU rRNA". It matches the Rfam family "Bacterial small subunit ribosomal RNA", at positions 8 to 810 of the family's 1533-position model. The record is from RNAcentral. Lineage: Bacteria; Pseudomonadati; Bacteroidota; Bacteroidia; Bacteroidales; Bacteroidaceae.
AGAGUUUGAUCCUGGCUCAGGAUGAACGCUAGCGGCAGGCUUAACACAUGCAAGUCGAGGGGCAGCGCGGGGUAGCAAUACUCUGGCGGCGACCGGCGGAAGGGUGCGUAACACGUGAGCGACUUGCCCGAUACAGGGAGAUAACCGGUGGAAACGCCGACUAAUAUCCCAUACGACAUGAGGCUGCAUGGCCUUGGGUUGAAAGGUUCGCCGGUAUCGGAUAGGCUCGCGGGACAUUAGCUGGAUGGCGGGGCAACGGCCCACCAUGGCGACGAUGUCUAGGGGUUCUGAGAGGAAGACCCCCCACACUGGGACUGAGACACGGCCCAGACUCCUACGGGAGGCAGCAGUGAGGAAUAUUGGUCAAUGGGCGGAAGCCUGAACCAGCCAUGCCGCGUGAAGGACUAAGGCCCUAUGGGUCGUAAACUUCUUUAGACGCAGAGCAAUAAGGGCCUCGCGAGGUCCGAUGAGAGUAUGCGUAGAAUAAGCAUCGGCUAACUCCGUGCCAGCAGCCGCGGUAAUACGGGGGAUGCGAGCGUUAUCCGGAUUUAUUGGGUUUAAAGGGUGCGUAGGCGGCGAAUUAAGUCAGCGGUGAAAGACCGGGGCUCAACCCUGGAAGUGCCGUUGAUACUGAUUGGCUAGAAUACCCUUGCCGUGGGAGGAAUGAGUGGUGUAGCGGUGAAAUGCAUAGAUAUCACUCAGAACACCGAUUGCGAAGGCAUCUCACGAAGGGGCGAUUGACGCUGAGGCACGAAAGCGUGGGGAUCGAACAGGAUUAGAUACCCUGGUAGUCCACGCAGUAAACGAU